Molecule: transfer RNA, 76 nt
Filed under: Desulfobacterium sp.
Lineage: Bacteria; Pseudomonadati; Thermodesulfobacteriota; Desulfobacteria; Desulfobacterales; Desulfobacteriaceae
Description: tRNA-Val
Rfam family: tRNA
About the family: Transfer RNA (tRNA) molecules are approximately 80 nucleotides in length.
Source: RNAcentral
AGGCGCGUAGCUCAGUUGGUAGAGCGCUACCUCGACACGGUAGAAGUCAACAGUUCAAGCCUGUUCGUGCCUACCA